GAAACGACUGCUAAUACCGCAUAAGCCCACGACCCGGCAUCGGGUUGAGGGAAAAGGAGCAAUCCGCUUUGAGAUGGCUUCGCGUCCGAUUAGCUAGUUGGUGAGGUAACGGCCCACCAAGGCAACGAUCGGUAGCCGGACUGAGAGGUUGAACGGCCACAUUGGGACUGAGACACGGCCCAGACUCCUACGGGAGGCAGCAGUGGGGAAUAUUGCACAAUGGGGGAAACCCUGAUGCAGCGACGCCGCGUGGAGGAAGAAGGUCUUCGGAUUGUAAACUCCUGUUGUUGAGGAAGAUAAUGACGGUACUCAACAAGGAAGUGACGGCUAACUACGUGCCAGCAGCCGCGGUAAAACGUAGGUCACAAGCGUUGUCCGGAAUUACUGGGUGUAAAGGGAGCGCAGGCGGGAAGACAAGUUGGAAGUGAAAUCCAUGGGCUCAACCCAUGAACUGCUUUCAAAACUGUUUUUCUUGAGUAGUGCAGAGGUAGGCGGAAUUCCCGGUGUAGCGGUGGAAUGCGUAGAUAUCGGGAGGAACACCAGUGGCGAAGGCGGCCUACUGGGCACCAACUGACGCUGAGGCUCGAAAGUGUGGGUAGCAAACAGGAUUAGAUACCCUGGUAGUCCACACCGUAAACGAUGAUUACGAGGUGUUGGAGGAUUGACCCCUUCAGUG
RNAcentral lists this ribosomal RNA (676 nucleotides) under uncultured bacterium. RNAcentral's name for it is "bacterial SSU rRNA". It matches the Rfam family "Bacterial small subunit ribosomal RNA", at positions 153 to 845 of the family's 1533-position model. The record is from RNAcentral.